CUCAAUGUUUGCUGAACAGAAGAAUAUCAUUUGCUUCUCUUUUUGCUUAUAUCCAGUUCUCUCAUAUUCUAUACCUCUAUCCCAAUGCUAAUCUUUCCUUACCUUUAACUUUAGCAAAGCAGCUUUUUUUCAAUGCCUAUCAGCUGACAAUUCUAAAGAUUCAACCUAUAAAGCCUAAGAGAUAGGCACAGAGGAAAGAUAAGCACCCCAACCCCCACAGCCAGAGCAUGGUACCUUCUACACCAACCACAGGUGAGUGAAUUGGAUGAAGAAGGGAGAAAAGAGAGAAGUAGAUUCCUGAAGGGAGAUAAAUAUAAUGCAGACCCUGGGGAUUAGAAACAAGGGAAAGUGAGAAAGGAAGAAGAAUAUCUGGAGGGGAAGAUCUGAAAUGAAAGCAGGGAAGAGUGUAGGAAUUUUAAUAUGCUAAAAUUCUGAAAAUAAAAUCAUCCUUAAGUUAUACUUUUUAGGAAUCUUCCUUGUAAAAGAAGUGGGGUAGAAAGGAGAAGCCUGUUAAUAUUCUUUAUGUACAUUAUCUCCUUAGUCCUUGUACUCACCCUAUUUGACAGGAAUUUGAGCCAUAUUUUACACAAGACAGGGAAGCUCAGAAAGGUGGAGCACCUUGCUCAAGGUCACACACUUUGCUUCAUUAGAAGUACAGGAUGACUGUUCCACUGGUAGAAUGUCCUUCUUUUGGGAUUCUGGAAUCCUUAAAGAUCCUAUUUCUUUGGGAUGUAGGGGAGAAAUGUGUUAUCUAAUAACUGAGAACAAAAGUAACUUAGCAUCCUGUUGGUUGUUAAAUGCUGCACCGUAAAGAGUGGUUCCUUGCUUUUUUAUGAAAAAAAAUUCCUACUUACUCUCAUCAGAAGAAAAGUGAGUUGAACUGACUUUGCUUGGCUGUUGGUUUGUCUUUCCUAUGAUUGGCAGGUGUCCCAGAGUACUGUGUAUAUAGGCCCAGCAAGAAAGUUGCUAAGUCCUUGUUGCUGCAAUAUUUUCCAUCAAGGUCUGGGCCAGGCAGACAAAAUUGUGCUUAUGGACUUCAGCAAACUCAGCACAAGGAAGGCCAGUGGGCAUGCUGAAGAACUGCCUCUCCAACAUCUUGUCCUCUCCUACAGACUCAGUGACACCAAUAAGUAGAUUCUUGAAGUCCUGUGCAUUUGACAUCUAAAUAACUUGGUCUCACUCUCUGGUUUUCUGUAUCUAAAUUUCCCCUCCCUUUGGGGCAUGAGAUUUAAAAGAAGGCUCUUGAGCAGAGCAAGCAACAGUCUCGUCUUUGAUUUAUGCUAUUACUGGAACUGUAGUCCUUGAAAGCAAUUCUGUCACUACUGUAAUGAGGACGGAGCUUCCGUUAACUAAUAA
This 1356-nucleotide long non-coding RNA is filed under the name Marmota monax (woodchuck). Lineage: Eukaryota; Metazoa; Chordata; Mammalia; Rodentia; Sciuridae. The record is from RNAcentral.